GACGAACGCUGGCGGCGUGCUUAACACAUGCAAGUCGAACGCUGAAGCUCAGCUUUUGUUGGGUGGAUGAGUGGCGAACGGGUGAGUAACACGUGAGUAACCUGCCCCCUUCUUUGGGAUAACGCCCGGAAACGGGUGCUAAUACUGGAUAUUCACUUGCCUUCGCAUGGGGGUUGGUGGAAAGGGUUUUUUCUGGUGGGGGAUGGGCUCGCGGCCUAUCAGCUUGUUGGUGGGGUGAUGGCCUACCAAGGCUUUGACGGGUAGCCGGCCUGAGAGGGUGACCGGUCACAUUGGGACUGAGAUACGGCCCAGACUCCUACGGGAGGCAGCAGUGGGGAAUAUUGCACAAUGGGCGAAAGCCUGAUGCAGCGACGCCGCGUGAGGGAUGGAGGCCUUCGGGUUGUAAACCUCUUUCGCUCAUGGUCAAGCCGCAGCUUUGGGUUGUGGUGAGGGUAGUGGGUAAAGAAGCGCCGGCUAACUACGUGCCAGCAGCCGCGGUAAUACGUAGGGCGCGAGCGUUGUCCGGAAUUAUUGGGCGUAAAGGGCUUGUAGGCGGUUGGUCGCGUCUGCCGUGAAAUCCUCUGGCUUAACUGGGGGCGUGCGGUGGGUACGGGCUGACUUGAGUGCGGGUGGGGGAGACUGGAACUCCUGGUGUAGCGGUGGAAUGCACACAUAUCACGAAAAACACCGGUGGCCGAAGGCGGGUUCUCUGGGGCCGAUAUGGAGGCUGAGGAACGAAAGCGUGGGGAGAGAACAGGAUUAAAUACCCCGGGAAGCCAGGGGGGAAUUGGGGGGGGAGACGUGCCGAUCGUUCCAAAAAAACUAUAUAAAAAAAUUAAUUCCCAGAUUUUGUUUUUUUUUUUUUG
RNAcentral lists this ribosomal RNA (866 nucleotides) under uncultured Actinomyces sp. RNAcentral describes it as "partial 16S ribosomal RNA". It matches the Rfam family "Bacterial small subunit ribosomal RNA". The record is from RNAcentral. Lineage: Bacteria; Bacillati; Actinomycetota; Actinomycetes; Actinomycetales; Actinomycetaceae.